Molecule: ribosomal RNA, 394 nt
Filed under: uncultured bacterium
Lineage: Bacteria
Description: bacterial SSU rRNA
Rfam family: Bacterial small subunit ribosomal RNA
Source: RNAcentral
GUGUCAGCAGCCGCGGUAAUACGGAAGGUCCAAGCGUUAAUCGGAAUUACUGGGCGUAAAGCGCGCGUAGGUGGUUUAUCAAGUUGGUUGUGAAAGCCCCGGGCUUAACCUGGGAACUGCAGCCAAAACUGAUUCACUAGAGUACGAAAGAGGAAAGUAGAAUUCACAGUGUAGCGGUGGAAUGCGUAGAUAUUGUGAAGAAUACCAGUGGCGAAGGCGACUCCCUGGCCAAAGACUGACGCUCAUGUGCGAAAGUGUGGGUAGCGAACAGGAUUAGAUACCCUGGUAGUCCACACCGUAAACGCUGUCUACUAGCUGUGUGUGUCUUUAAGACGUGCGUAGCGAAGCUAACGCGCUAAGUAGACCGCCUGGGGAGUACGGCCGCAAGGUUAAA